ACUGCUGUGAUAAGCCCUAACAUGGAAGAAGGCCCAGAGAUUGCUCCUGUUUUUCUGUGAAAUACUCCUGUUACGCUUGGCUUCUGAGCGGC
Molecule: non-coding RNA, 92 nt
Organism: Oryza glaberrima (African rice)
Lineage: Eukaryota; Viridiplantae; Streptophyta; Magnoliopsida; Poales; Poaceae
Source: Rfam